Gallus gallus (chicken) is the source of this 4277-nucleotide long non-coding RNA. Lineage: Eukaryota; Metazoa; Chordata; Aves; Galliformes; Phasianidae. The record is from Ensembl.
CACAGGAGGAAAAUGAGCUGUCACUCCAAUUCCCAGGAUGCCUUGCUGCUUAGCAUAACUCCACUCUGCGGCCCAGGGUCCACUGGUCCGUACUCUGACAGAUAAUUAAGAAAGCAGCAGCUUUUUCUAGACGGCUCUUCCUCAUGAUUUGCAUUUUAGCCAGAGGCGACCAGUUAUAAAAAAAACAUGAUGGAAAGAUGGUAAGAAGCCAAUUAGAUGGAUGGAUGGCUGACUGACAGCUCUCUGGUAUUACUACUCCAGAUUUCAUUCUAUGUAUCCUGGCAGUUUUCAACGGGAACCAACUCUGCAGGUGGAAGUUAUUCACUCAGAGGGUGGUGACGCACUGAACAGGUUGUCCAAGGAUUGCUGGAUGCCCCAUCCCUGGAGGCAUUCCAGGCCAGGCUGGAUGUGGCUCUGGGCAGCCUGGUGUGAUGGUUGGAGACCCUGCACAUAGCAGGGGGUUGGAACUGGAUGAUCACUGUGGCCCCUUUCAACCCAGGCCUUCUGUGAUUCUGUGAUUCUUCUGAGUGGAGUUAAAGAGGCCAUCAGUGAGUGUCUUACUGCUACGUAUCUGGCUUAAAAUGAACAGCUGCUCCAGAGAUCUGGAAAUACUCUCUUUAGUUUUGAAUAGGAGGAGAAACUGAAGCGGAAGCAGGUGUUUGUGGCUGUGUUGUGUGAGGUAUCCUUCCUCUCUUUGUAGCUGCACAGUCACUGGGAUCAAAUUUAAAACGUGCAAAACCCCGAAUUCCUCAGAAUGUGGUGUGAAAGUGCACUUUGCUCACCGUUGUGAAAGCCAGCCGGCGAGCUUUGAGUUAUUCCCGUUAUUUCAGGAGAGGCAUAUUCCCUCUUUCUCACUAAAAGUGAGAAUACCGAGGGAAGAGAGGUGGCAGCGUGGCUAAAAUACGGAAUGAGGAAGUCACACCAACCUGUUCUGCUGCUUCGGUUGCUCAAGAGCCGGAUUUCCCGGUGUCGGAACUGCAUCACGGCAGCACUAGGUGGCAAUGUUGCUACAACGAAAACUCCCAUCGCUCCGCUCCAGCAGAGACCCCCGCCACGCUUUGCAGACAAUGCGAAGAGCUGUCGCCGCUUCGGCAGUUGCAUGGCAUCGUUUGGGUUGGCCGGGACUGCUCCGAGGUUGGCUGGUUGGUUGGCGUUUUCAUGAAGGAGCAAGUUGGAGGUGAUAAAUUGGUGUUGCUCAUGGGUUUGGUCAUUCCUACUGAAUUUGCAGUGGAUCUGGGGGUUGUUGAGUAAGGCACAGAGAAAUGAGCUGCUGACAGUCGUGUUAGGAUGAGGCUCCAUCAUCUGACAAAGAUCAUGAGGACUCAAGCCUGAUCCUAAUCAUAAAAUCAUAGAAUUAUAGAAUGGCCUGGGUUGAAAAGGACCACAAUGCUCAUCUCGUUCCAACCCUCUGCUAUGUGCAGGGUCACCAACCAGCAGACCAGGCUGCCCAGAGCCACAUCCAGCCUGGCCUUGAAAUAAUAAUAUCACUCAUGAGACCAUGGAAAGAAUAUAACUUGUACCUUCCCUCGUGUGCUAAUUCCAGUGAAAUCAAAGCCAAAAUUGUGGGGUAUAAAGUUUAGGGUGUGGGCAGCUUUUUCCAAGAUUAGUGCAUCUGAAGAAGAGUGAGCCAAUGGAAGCACGGAACAGCUAGCAGUUCAAUCUGUGUUUAAUCAACUACAGAGAAACAGCGUUCAUCAGGUCAUGAUGCUGAGGGGGCUCUGCACACUCCAAGUAUUUAUUUUAAUCCUCCUUAAUACCCACCAUUUGCAGUUAUAGUAAACUGCAAACUGCAGCUCUGGUUACCAAUAGGAUAAGCGACACUUCUGGUCUGAGUUUACCUCAUCGCUCAAGGGAUCAUCAUGAAAAUUCAGAUUUUAAUUCCAUUCUAAAGAAAAUGUUGCAUCCUGCUGACAGUAGCUGUGAUGGAUGAGAGUAAAAAUGGCCAAAGUGCAGAAAAAUCUUCUACCCUUUGCCAGGGAAGGGGAGUGGGCUGCACAUCGUGCAUUUCUACUGCAAAGGAUGCUCCAAAAGUAAUGCCUUCUAUUUUAUUGUCUUGGGCCACGACGUCAGAGGCAGAUGUCAGUGGGAUGACAGUAGAUACUGAGUCUUCCCACCAAUAUCCUGCUACAUUUUGUUCUGUGUGACAGACAACAGCAGAAAGACAGUCUGAAAGUACGGCAUCUGACAUGGAAAUGGGUAUGGAGCAAAGGUGUGUAAUUGAAUUCUUCCUUGAAGAAAAAGCAGCACCUACUGACAUUCAUUGAUGCUUACGGAAUGUUUAUGGAGACCAAACAGUGGGUUUGAGCACAACAAGGGGUGGGUUUUGUAUUUCUGCAGUGGUGAUAAUGACAUGAAAUACAAACCAUGUUCUAGACAGCCAUGCACAGCUGUCAGACCAUGAACUGAAGACAGUCUCAAUCAGCUCAUCCACACAUUCUGCUAAUGGUGAUGAUUGUUUUUUGUAGCUGAAAAUUCACUCUAUUCAAUAGUGUUAUUUUGUUCUUUGUAUGCAUUGUACCUUCCAUGGAAAUAUAUGCAUUACUUUUAGAGCGACCUAUGUAGUUUAUGAACAGUUGGAUUCUCAUAAUGGAUACUCAGAGGGUGGUGACACAUUGGAACAGGUUUCCCAAGGAGGUUGUGGAUGCCCUAUCCCUGCAGGCAUUCAAGGCCAGGCUGGAUGUGGCUCUGGGCAGCCUGGUCUGCUGGUUGGUGAUGCUGCACAUAGCAGGGGGGUUAAAACUCGAUGAUCAUUGUGGUCAUUUUCAACCCAGGCCAUUGUAUGAUUCUAUGAUUACAUGAUUAUAUGAUACUGAAUUAAUUGGUGGUGAAUUGCACCAGAGUUAUACAGGGGUCAGCAUCAAACCUUGUGCAGCUUCUCAGUGAUGACCAGUGAAAUUCUUACAUGAUGCUCAUAAGGAUCCAAAGAGGCAUCAGUGGUAGAACGAAGGGUCUAAGCAAUCCAUUAUUCCUGUCUUGUUGAUUGUGAGCAAUAUUGAGUCAGAUUUUCUUAUUCUGUUAGCUUUAGUUAUCAGUUAAGUAAAUGCUGUUUUUCUUUACCUCUUACAUGAAGAUCACCUGCCAGAUCAGUUACUAGAAUCUCAUAGCAUGUUUUCUCAGAGUAAUGAUUAAAUAUAUAUAUAUAAUUAAUUUUGUAAUGAAUUGUAUUAUGUUGUAAAAUAUUGUAUUUUAUCCUUCCAGAGCAACAGGAGAAAUUACAGGCCUUGUUCGAGGUGUGUUCAAAGGAGAAUUUAGAAUUACUCUUUGGAUUUCUUUCGAGUGGUGAGGAAGGAAUUCAUCUUUAUUAUUACUUUGGAGUCUCUUCGAUUUCCUAUAUAAGUCAAAAGUAAUAAAAUGGAUGAACUUAUCAGAGUUUUGUAUAAGUAUGUGCACCCAAGCACUUGAGGUUGUUUAAUGGACUUACUCUUCAAACAGUAAAUGCAGAGCUUCUUGAAGAUUUUCAGUGGAAAAAAGUGAGUAAGGCUUUGAAUCAGUUUUCCUUUGUAAGUCUCUCAUUUAUGUAGGCUAUUUUAAAAUGAACAUGUUAUUGGACUUCUCUAUAAGGGUGGAAUUUGAGCUAAUUUAGGUGGAUAUUUUUCUUUAUUUUGAAACAAUCUUUUUAAUGAAUAUUGAUCUCACAACUGGUAUUGUAUUUGCAUAUUUCUACAGUGAGCAAGGCUGUGACUUCUCUAAGUCAAAUUUUCUUGUUUGGUGGGAUAAAUCCAUGAUCUAUUGCCUAGAAAAGAGAAUGUGUCUGGCAGUGGGCAGAGCUGAGAAGCCUGCAUUGGGAAUGGCUCAAAUAGCCUAUAAAAAUGCUGUCUUAAUGUUGGAAUAAUCUCAGUGCUGGAUCAAAUUCUUAAAGUUUCACUGUCCCUUGUAGAAAAUAUUAUUGAGAGUAAUACUGAAAAACAGAAGAACAAGAAUAAAACCUUGCUAGAGUAUACUGUCUGAAGAGUUUCACUUCCCUUUUUUAUAAUGCCAUUUAGUACUGUGAAAAUAGACAAUUCAGUUUCUCACCUUGAGCCAUACAUUUAGAUUGGAAGGGGAAAAAAAGGAUGAAACAAGGGAUUUUUGGUGUUUUCUAGCCGUAUGAACACACAUAGACUUUGUCAGCACAGUAAAGUUGUGCUGAUAUCUGAGGAAAAGUCAGAAGCAGCUGAAAGACAGAAAGUUUAAAGAAGUGAAAAGAUGUGCAUUUCUGGCCUUAUUCAUGUCUCAUUAGCUUCUGGCACACUGUAUUGCCUAGACUAGCAAAAACAGGUUUUCUUUCUCCUUUUUCA